UUAAAGAGUUCUAUAACUCCCAAACCCAUGUGAACAUACCAAACGUUGCCUCGGCAGGUCGCACCUACCUUGUAGCACCCUAUCCUGUAAGGCCUACCCGGGACGUGCGGGUAAGCCUGCCGGCGGCCCAUUAAACUCUGUUUGAUAUUGAAUUCUGAACCUAUAACUAAAUAAGUUAAAACUUUCAACAACGGAUCUCUUGGUUCUGGCAUCGAUGAAGAACGCAGCGAAAUGCGAUAAGUAAUGUGAAUUGCAGAAUUCAGUGAAUCAUCGAAUCUUUGAACGCAUAUUGCGCCCAUUAGUAUUCUAGUGGGCAGGACCGUUCGAGCGUCAUUUCGACCCUUAAGCCUUAGUUGCUUAGUGUUGGGAGCCUACGGCGACGUAGCUCCUCAAAGUUAGUGGCGGAGUUGGUUCACACUCUAGACGUAGUAAUUUUUUAUCUCGCCUAUUAGUUGGACCGAUCCCCUGCCGUAAAACCCCCAACUUCUCAAGGUUGACCUCGAAUCGGUUCAGACAAACUCGCUAAAUUGAAGCAUCUUAGUCAGCG
Molecule: ribosomal RNA, 547 nt
Filed under: fungal endophyte
Lineage: Eukaryota; Fungi
Description: eukaryotic LSU rRNA
Rfam family: 5.8S ribosomal RNA (bases 180-333)
Source: RNAcentral